GCCGCUUGGUGAAAUCGGUAGAC
This 23-nucleotide transfer RNA is filed under the name Elatostema microcephalanthum. Its description in RNAcentral is "partial tRNA-Leu". RNAcentral also lists the same sequence under 1 other name. Lineage: Eukaryota; Viridiplantae; Streptophyta; Magnoliopsida; Rosales; Urticaceae. The record is from RNAcentral.